CGCCUCCUGCAAAAAUCAAUGUAUAGGAGGUCUUGCCUGCCCAGUGACAAGUUAAACGGCCGCGGUAUUUUGACCGUGCGAAGGUAGCGCAAUCACUUGUCUUUUAAAUGAAGACCUGUAUGAAUGGUGGAACGAGGGCUUAACUGUCUCCCCUUUCAAGUCAAUGAAAUUGAUCUGCCCGUGCAGAAGCGGGCAUAAAAAUACAAGACGAGAAGACCCUUUGGAGCUUAAGAUACAAGAUCAACUAUGUCAAGAACUCUAAAAUUAAGUUAAACUAAAUAGUUAACUGAUCCCUAUCUUCGGUUGGGGCGACCGCGGGAGAAAACAAAGCUCCCACGCGGACUGGGAUUAUAAUCCUAAAACCAAGAAAGACAUCUCUAAGUCGCAGAACAUCUGACCAUAAAGAUCCGGCCUAACCCGCCGACCAACGGACCAAGUUACCCUAGGGAUAACAGCGCAAUCCCCUUUCAGAGUCCAUAUCGACAAGGGGGUUUACGACCUCGAUGUUGGAUCAGGACAUCCUAAUGGUGCAGCCGCUAUUAAGGGUUC
RNAcentral lists this ribosomal RNA (549 nucleotides) under Pangasius bocourti. RNAcentral describes it as "partial 16S ribosomal RNA". It matches the Rfam family "Bacterial large subunit ribosomal RNA", at positions 1816 to 2574 of the family's 2925-position model. The record is from RNAcentral. Lineage: Eukaryota; Metazoa; Chordata; Actinopteri; Siluriformes; Pangasiidae.